ACCCGUGUAAAGUGUAUCAGCAACUUGCCUUGCUUCUUAAGUUUUUCCAAGUUUCCUUCUUUUCUUCUAUGCCUUGAAUUUCCUUCAGAACACCUAAAAAUAUGCAAAAAACAUAGAUUUUAGUAUGGAUCGGUGAAAUUUACAAAAAAUAAUGAAAUUAUAAAAUAUGCAUGCAAUUACCUAUCUAAAUGUCAUGAAAUGUUGUACAAUUGUGCUUAAAAAUAUCUAUAUAA
Molecule: unclassified non-coding RNA, 233 nt
Filed under: Hevea brasiliensis (rubber tree)
Lineage: Eukaryota; Viridiplantae; Streptophyta; Magnoliopsida; Malpighiales; Euphorbiaceae
Source: RNAcentral